Molecule: ribosomal RNA, 422 nt
Filed under: uncultured bacterium
Lineage: Bacteria
Description: bacterial SSU rRNA
Rfam family: Bacterial small subunit ribosomal RNA
Source: RNAcentral
UGAGGAAUAUUGGUCAAUGGACGAGAGUCUGAACCAGCCAAAUCGCGUGAAGGAAGACUGCCCUACGGGUUGUAAACUUCUUUUGUACAGGAAUAAAAGACAUUACGUGUAAUGUAUUGCAUGUACUGUACGAAUAAGCAUCGGCUAACUCAGUGCCAGCAGCCGCGGUAAUACGGAGGAUGCGAGCGUUAUCCGGAUCUAUUGGGUUUAAAGGGUGCGCAGGCGGGAUUUUAAGUCAGCGGUGAGAUUUUCAGGCUCAACCUGAACACUGCCGUUGAAACUGGGAUUCUUGAGUAUGGAUGAAGUAGGCGGAAUUCGUUGUGUAGCGGUGACAUGCUUAGAUAUAACGAGGAACUCCGAUUGCGUAGGCAGCUUACUAAGCCAUAACUGACGCUCAAGCACGAAAGCGUGGGGAUCAAACA